Molecule: unclassified non-coding RNA, 266 nt
Filed under: fungal sp.
Lineage: Eukaryota; Fungi
Description: partial internal transcribed spacer region
Rfam family: Eukaryotic small subunit ribosomal RNA (bases 1-46)
Source: RNAcentral
AAGUCGUAACAAGGUUUCCGUAGGUGAACCUGCGGAAGGAUCAUUAUUGAUGUUGGAGAUGAGUGAUUGUGAAUUGGUGUUUGCUGGGGGUGGUUGAUUGAUUACUGGGGUAAUUGAUUGAUUACCGGGGGGCAGACACAAGUAACAAGAACGAUUAUGGGAGAAAAAGAGUGUGCAAGUACAGGGGUGCAGCAAUGCACAACAACGUACAAAGCACAAACAUAACAACAAUAAUACAACUUUUAACAAUGGAUCUCUAGGCUCUU